GUGUCAGCAGCCGCGGUAAUACGUAGGGUGCGAGCGUUAAUCGGAAUUACUGGGCGUAAAGCGUGCGCAGGCGGUUUGGUAAGACAGGUGUGAAAUCCCCGGGCUUAACCUGGGAACUGCGCUUGUGACUGCCAGGCUAGAGUACGGCAGAGGGGGGUGGAAUUCCACGUGUAGCAGUGAAAUGCGUAGAGAUGUGGAGGAACACCGAUGGCGAAGGCAGCCCCCUGGGCCUGUACUGACGCUCAUGCACGAAAGCGUGGGGAGCAAACAGGAUUAGAUACCCUGGUAGUCCACGCCCUAAACGAUGUCGACUAGUUGUUCGUGGAGGUAACUCCGUGAGUAACGCAGCUAACGCGUGAAGUCGACCGCCUGGGGAGUACGGCCGCAAGGUUAAA
This 395-nucleotide ribosomal RNA is filed under the name uncultured bacterium. Its description in RNAcentral is "bacterial SSU rRNA". It matches the Rfam family "Bacterial small subunit ribosomal RNA", at positions 505 to 898 of the family's 1533-position model. The record is from RNAcentral.